GGAACUGGAAAUAGUCGAAGUAUAAUAUGGUAGUACAACACGUCUAUCAAGCCGAGAGUUAGCUGUUGCAGGAGAUGUGCAGGGCUCAUGCUUUGAAAAGUGUAGUAUUAUGUCGGGUAGUUCAAUUUGUUCAAGUUUAGGGCACUAUGGUCAGUUAUGUGACCUUAUGCUCAUCAUGUCUAGUUUCUUGGAUCAUUACCACGAUUUGGCAGGCCUCAAUUCGUGCAGUUCAUUUUUGCGCGUCUGGCCAGCCAAAUCGGGGCAACCGAAUUGUCCGCUGAAUUUUGGCUGUGGUUGACGCUUUGGCAGGGGUGGCGUGGGGCAGAAUCCAAACAAACCCUUGUAACUGUUUUCUGAUAGGUGAUAUCGAUCCUGGGGACCUUUCCUUGAAGCCGUGAGAGCCAUGAUCAAGAGCCUUGAUUUGUGAAAUAUAAGUUUGGUUUUAAAAAGAGAC
This 454-nucleotide long non-coding RNA is filed under the name Setaria viridis. RNAcentral describes it as "long non-coding RNA (SVIR_LNC001382)". The record is from RNAcentral. Lineage: Eukaryota; Viridiplantae; Streptophyta; Magnoliopsida; Poales; Poaceae.